GCUGGCGGCGUGCCUAAUACAUGCAAGUCGAGCGAACAGAUAAGGAGCUUGCUCCUUUGACGUUAGCGGCGGACGGGUGAGUAACACGUGGGUAACCUACCUAUAAGACUGGAAUAACUCCGGGAAACCGGGGCUAAUGCCGGAUAACAUUUAGAACCGCAUGGUUCUAAAGUGAAAGAUGGUUUUGCUAUCACUUAUAGAUGGACCCGCGCCGUAUUAGCUAGUUGGUAAGGUAACGGCUUACCAAGGCAACGAUACGUAGCCGACCUGAGAGGGUGAUCGGCCACACUGGAACUGAGACACGGUCCAGACUCCUACGGGAGGCAGCAGUAGGGAAUCUUCCGCAAUGGGCGAAAGCCUGACGGAGCAACGCCGCGUGAGUGAUGAAGGUCUUCGGAUCGUAAAACUCUGUUAUUAGGGAAGAACAAAUGUGUAAGUAACUGUGCACGUCUGAC
RNAcentral lists this ribosomal RNA (455 nucleotides) under Staphylococcus ureilyticus. RNAcentral's name for it is "bacterial SSU rRNA". It matches the Rfam family "Bacterial small subunit ribosomal RNA", at positions 35 to 473 of the family's 1533-position model. Lineage: Bacteria; Bacillati; Bacillota; Bacilli; Caryophanales; Staphylococcaceae. The record is from RNAcentral.